Molecule: ribosomal RNA, 718 nt
Filed under: soil metagenome
Description: bacterial LSU rRNA
Rfam family: Bacterial large subunit ribosomal RNA
Source: RNAcentral
CGUAGAAAUCCUAACGAAGGCGUCGGAAUCGGCGCUUCGGACCCUGGCAGGCGGGCAGUUUGACUGGGGCGGUCGCCUCCCAAAGAGUAACGGAGGCGCGCGAAGGUUCCCUCAGGCUGAUUGGAAACCAGCCGUAGAGUGCAAAGGCAUAAGGGAGCUUGACUGCAAGACAUACACGUCGAGCAGGUGCGAAAGCAGGUCUUAGUGAUCCGGCGGUUCUGUAUGGAAGGGCCGUCGCUCAACGGAUAAAAGGUACUCCGGGGAUAACAGGCUUAUCUCCCCCAAGAGUUCACAUCGACGGGGAGGUUUGGCACCUCGAUGUCGGCUCAUCGCAUCCUGGGGCUGAAGUAGGUCCCAAGGGUUUGGCUGUUCGCCAAUUAAAGCGGUACGCGAGCUGGGUUUAAAACGUCGUGAGACAGUUUGGUCCCUAUCUGCCGUGGGCGUAGGAGAUUUGAGAGGAUCUGUCCUUAGUACGAGAGGACCGGGAUGGACGAACCACUAGUGUUCCUGUUGUCACGCCAGUGGCAAUGGCAGGGUAGCUAUGUUCGGAAAGGAUAACCGCUGAAAGCAUCUAAGCGGGAAGCCCCCCUCAAGACGAGAUCUCCCUGGGAGCAAUCCCCUAAAGGUCCGUCGGAGACGACGACGUUGAUAGGCCGGGUGUGUAAGCACGGCAACGUGUUCAGCUAACCGGUACUAAUUGACCGUGAGGCUUGACCAU